UAUUCCAAGUCACAGGCCCAGUUAAAGAUCUGCAAUGCUCUUGCAGAAUUAAGAUUCAGAGGUUUUUGUACAAGGAAUGGGGGAAAACUUUCAGGAACUGAUCGCUACAGAUGUUUGCCAUGUACGAGGCUAAGUCUCAAACCAACAGAAACUGGAGAGCAGCUCUGAGUUCUGCUGUCGUGAAAAAAAAUGAACCAUUGUUCCCACUCUGCUCUCCCUGCUGCUGAAGGUGGUGAGAGGCUGCGGGAACAAGAUCUCAACCCCAGAUGCCUCGGUUAGGUGCAUAGAAACAGUGGUGUUGCUAGUCUCCUGUGGCAUGGACCACUGCUGAGGAUUGAGGCAAUGCAGUGCAAGUUUGGUGCAGCAAAUCCAGCCAACAAAUGGUAAUCCUCCUCCUUGGAGACAGCACCAGGAGACUGCAAGUAAAAGCAGAAACAGGUAUUUUAAAAAUAAGAAUGGACUUCAUAUGUAAUUCAGCAGGCUCAUCGGAGUCUGUAUCUCUCAGUUCACUGACUGAAUCGCUCUGUCACAGCCCAUUCAUACGAGUGGCCCAUAUCACCCCACACCUUCCUCCACAAAAUGGAAGGUCUUCUCACUAUUUUGAAACAUGCUUAUGCUCCUCCUCUGGAAGGAGGAAGAUGUAUCUGUUUAUAUCUGUUUGUACUUUAGCACUGUUUCAGUUGAUGUCGUCUGUGUUGAACUGUAUUAAUUCUAUGUGUUUUUGUAUUUAAAAUGCUUGAACCCCACCAACUGACAUGCAAAAUUAAAUGGAUAAUUCUCAGAAACAGUAUGUGCUGAUUUAAAAUUACUUUAGUAAUCUUCUAACCAAAGCAGACAGAUAAUGAGCAAGUCCCUAGGUAUGCAUUAGUACAGCAAACUUUCCCAUUUCUGUAUGUCUGUAUGUCAAAGCACUGGAAUUAACAGCACUCAGUAUACUUCUUAUGGAGCUGGUGCAGCUCAUUCAAG
RNAcentral lists this long non-coding RNA (966 nucleotides) under Apteryx owenii (little spotted kiwi). Its description in RNAcentral is "lncRNA (ENSAOWG00000010390.1)". Lineage: Eukaryota; Metazoa; Chordata; Aves; Apterygiformes; Apterygidae. The record is from RNAcentral.